Molecule: long non-coding RNA, 729 nt
Filed under: Gossypium barbadense (sea-island cotton)
Lineage: Eukaryota; Viridiplantae; Streptophyta; Magnoliopsida; Malvales; Malvaceae
Description: long non-coding RNA (GBAR_LNC007701)
Source: RNAcentral
UGGAUAUUUUUUUUAGUACAUUCUCAUAAAUAACAAGCAAAAGAAACACUUCACAUCAAGAGAACCCCAAAUGUUCAACCGUAUGGAGGAGAAAAUUCCUAUUAAAAAGAUGGCUAAUAGCCUGAUACCCAACAUUGCUUCAGCUUCGGAUACAACUCAUAUUUAAGCCGGCAAAAGGAAAGGCGUUUCAUAAAUUUCGAAAUUAAAUCGAAAUUCUAAGCAAUUUACCAGUAAGUGCCUGUAAAAAGAAUGGUUUAGACGUUUAGUAAAGAAAAUAUAUAAAAAGGCUCCAAUUCUAAAGCUUAGGAAAAAAAAGGACUACCUGAAAGUGAAAGCCAAGAGAAGAAGACUAAACGACAGCGUUCAAUUUGCCUGAUAAGAGAAGAAUUAUGCGACUGAAAGGGAUUGUCCCAGCUGGCUGUUUCGGGCCCUGACACGGGCUCACCUCGCCACCGACUCUUCCCCCCAAAACCGCUGAAACCGCCGUGUCAAGUGGCUGUUUCAGACCAAGACACGGGCGCACCUCCCAACCAACACGAACACCCACCGACACUUCCUGCCAAAACCCCUUCUUCUACUGCUGCAGCCGCCUAGUAAGAUGGCGGUUUCAGACCCCAACACGGGCGCACCUCCCAACCACCACAAACACUCAUUGACUCUUCCCGCCAAAACCCAACACUCCCCUCUAUGUAAACCAAAAGACCCAAAUGCCAUCUUCAUUUGUUUUUC